CAUUAAGCACAUCUACCAAGAAAACGUGCUAAAGUCUGACGUGAAGAAUAAGUUCAUCAUCAGAAGAAGGGGUUGAAACGAACAAGAAAUAUCGUCUUCAUAAAAGUUGGCCAUUAAGCACAUCUACCAAGAAAACGUGCUAAAGUCUGACGUGAAGAAUAAGUUCAUCAUCAGAAGAAGGGGUUGAAACGAACAAGAAAUAUCGUCUUCAUAAAAGUUGGCCAUUAAGCACAUCUACCAAGAAAACGUGCUAAAGUCUGACGUGAAGAAUAAGUUCAUCAUCAGAAGAAGGGGUUGAAACGAACAAGAAAUAUCGUCUUCAUAAAAGUUGGCCAUUAAGCACAUCUACCAAGAAAACGUGCUAAAGUCUGACGUGAAGAAUAAGUUCAUCAUCAG
This is a long non-coding RNA of Xenia sp. Carnegie-2017, 396 nucleotides long. RefSeq lists it as uncharacterized. The transcript is spliced from 4 exons. Lineage: Eukaryota; Metazoa; Cnidaria; Anthozoa; Malacalcyonacea; Xeniidae. The record is from RefSeq and is a predicted model, not a curated record.